Molecule: non-coding RNA, 3672 nt
Organism: Podarcis lilfordi (Lilford's wall lizard)
Lineage: Eukaryota; Metazoa; Chordata; Lepidosauria; Squamata; Lacertidae
Source: the annotation of a GenBank genome assembly
AGUCUUAGAAAGAGACAGAGAAAGAAAGAAGAAGAAGGGGGCAGAGUGAAUAGCUGGCUCGUUCGGAAAUGGGCCUACAGCCACUUCCCACUUUGGAAGCCUCAGCAGUCAUUCUCUCGCUCGCUCUCUUUGCGUUCUCCCUGCCCACUCUGGCUCGGCUGCCAAGUCAGAGUUGGCACAGCUUCCCAGGCAGCGCGGAACAAAGCCCUCUCCCAUCCCUGAACAGGCACUGACAGUAAGCAAAGUGACAGGCACAUCUUCUGCAUGUUAAUCCAAACGGAGAGGAGAAACUGGCGUGAGAAUUCAAUCCCUCAAUAUCUCUCUCUAUAGAGAUAUAUAGUCAUGAAAAACAAAAAAAGCCUCUAUCCAGCCUGCUGGAAAGGAUCCUUAAAACAGAAAAAAUACAGCUAGCUGCAAUAAGGAUUGGAGAAGGGAGGGAGGGAGAGGGGGGGGAGAGAAGGAUUUACCCACCAGCACCUUGGCAAAGAAGGCUGCUUUGCAUCUGUUGUACCUGUUCCUGUUGCCUUCCUUGCCUUUUGGAUUUGUGACAAGAGAGAAAAGUCGCCUCUGGUGGGUUGCUCAAAGCUGCGGGUCUGCAGCCCUGUGCAGGAAGUUGGCACCGAUCCCAGGUAGGACUUUACUCCCACAUUUCUACCCUCCACCUCCUUCCUCUCCUUCCCCUCCCCUUCUUCUUCUUUCUCUCCACCCACCCACCAUCUCCCUUGGUAAAUCCCCCCCUGCUCUCCCUCAAAGCCUGUUCUUAACUUACCUCUUUUUCCACUGCACCACUCUGUGCGUGUCUCUCUGUGUGUGUGUGUGCGUGUGCGUGGGUACAUUAUGGAUCGAUCAGAUGCACUCAGCACCCUCCAGCAUCCAAGCUAAGAAACACAAACACCCUUUAAGGGUGACCUGGGCAGCAAAGACGGCAACAGCUUCCUGCCUGCACUGGCUCCCCUAAAUGCCUGUUUCAACACAUGGAGUUGGGCAGUGGUUGGGUUAAUUCUCUCCCCCCCCCCCGUGCUGCCAAGGAGACUGGACAGAACGCAAGGGAGGGAGAGAAAAAAAAUACUCCGAACUCUGUACAGGGCAAUGAAAGGAAAAUGUUGAGCUUCGUGAAACUCCUAAAUCCAAUCCCCCCUUCCCCCCCUCUUUUAAUACUGCCUGGGCUUCUGAAUUGUUUGAGCCCACAAUUGAGAGGGAAUGUACAGUAUAGACUCCCUGCGACUGGCAAGAGUCUUGCAAGGGGGGGGGGGAGAGGAGGAGAGUUCUUACAAUCAAACAGCGAGAAGAGCAAAGAGAAAUUAACAUCCAAUUAGUGCCGUGUUUAACGAAGGAGACAGAGGCAGCCGUUGUUUUAUUGCCCUGUUCUUUUCUUUCGGCUCUGACAGGCAGCGCGAAAGGCACCCCCAGAUCGCGGUGACGUCAUUUCCCACCCCCCCUUUUCUCCUCGUCCAAGUUUCUCAGAGGUUGGCCAUCACGUUUGCUGGAAAAGUUAAUUAUAUUUAUGGCUGAGCUUCAAACAAAAAAACAAAACGAAAAAAAGCACGCUCUUCUUUCUCUUCGGCAAGGAACCCAAAAAAAUUAAAAUAAAAUGGAAGAUAUCAGCCCUCUUUCUCUCUUUCUGUAUCUCUCUUUCUCUCUGCUUGCCUGUGUGCCUUUGCUUGUUUUCCUGCUCACUCAGCUUGUAAAAGUUUGAGCUGUGUGACACUCUACUCGGCCUCCUUUGGCAGCGUGACAAGAACUGCUUUGGUGUAUCAAAGAGAACAGGCAGCUUUUAAGGAAGAAACUCAAUUCAGAGAGAUUAAAGAAUUAUAAUGUUUUAAUCAAGGGAGAGCAAGAGGAUGAGUGGGAGGCUUUUCCUUACAUCUGGAUCAACAUAAGUGGCCCUCUAAAGGCUUGCAGCAGCAAUUUGGAAUUGGGGAGGGCGGUGGGGGGGGGAGAGGGAAAGAGAUGAACUUAGAAGCAGGAAUCCAGCAUUUAUAGUCUCCCUCUUUUCCUCCCCCCUUUUCUUUCUCCCCACACACACCACAUGAACUCUGUGGGCCGCUGCCUGAAGGAGACGAAGAGACGCCAUGAUGGCAAGGCCUUUGUAUACUGCCGCGGGAUCCUACAGCACGCUCAGAAAAGACUCUUGUGCUUUUGUAGUUGUGGAGAAAGAUUAUUUCCUACCACACAGAAGACCCCUUGCCCAACAUGGCCACCUUUCCACAGCACCCAACUGGGAGGAAUCCAGCUGCUUCCUUUUUACCUCAGUAUUAUAGUGACGUAUUCCCUCCUACCAGGAAGGACUCUCCGAUCAAUAAUGGGAGACGGCAUUCUCAAGCAAGGUGCUUUUAACCUCGCAACAACGCCACGAGCUUUCCUUCCUCUCUCUUCCCCCUCCGCCCCCUUAGUUUUCGCCUCUUGAAUCCUAUCCAAACUGUUUGGAACUGGAUUUUUCCAGCUGCUGGAAGGAAAGCAGCUGAGCUUAAGAGCAACCUCCUUGGGUUCUGACUGAAGUCGUUUUAUUCCAGUGAUGUCCCUUCUUGUGCUCGAGUAACGGCUGCCAUUUCAGGCUGCAAGUCUAGGCUCAAGUGGAGGCCUCUGAAGGUAGGAGUAUAUAUCCGGGGAUAAAACGAAUCUAGUUGAAACAUACAUUGAAAAUGAGAUUUGUUCAAAACCGUAAAGCCAACUUGAGUAUGUUGGCAAGAAUGCAGUAUAUAAAUAAACAGGCUGGUCUUUAUUAACAAAGGAAAUAGAACGCUUUUAGAACACAAGAGUAGCUCUGCUGGAUCAAACCAAAGGCUUCUCUAGUCCAGUAUUCUGUUCCCACAGAGGCCAAUCAGAUGCCUACUGAUGGGACACAAGCACAGUAACAUUUCUCAUGUUCUUUUAUAAGAUUUGCCCCAUCUAUUUCAUUAGGUCAAUGAAUGACUAGAUCAGUCUGUUUCUGGCCCAUGCCUCAUUCUGAUGUGUUUAUUCAGAAGACUGUCCUGUCCCGUUUCGACAUCAGUCUAUUAUAUUUCUACCUAGCUAUCUAUUUAUAGUUUUCUAUUUAAUUUUCUCAAAAAAUGCAUUAAAAUAGGUAUAUAAAAGAAUAUGCAUUUUGAACAUAUUGUCUCAUGAAACGCACCUUUUGGAAUGCAUUUCCUCUCAAACCACACAUUUCAAAGCAUAUUUCACUGAAUAUGCAGUUUGAAAAUGCAUCUUGAGCCUAGGAAUCGCAUCAGAAAUUUUGGAAAAGUGCAAAAUCCAAAGACAUAUGGGUUCCAGUUCUCACAUUAGUGUAGGAGGUACAGUUUGGGACUGUUCAUCAUCUGAAUUCGCAGAGAACGAAUUUUCCAGUGCAAAAGUGAGCCCUGCAAAUGCUGCCCGAACACUGUUUCAAUUCCUUACUGCAGAUUUCAUUAUGCUGAAAUUCCAACAAACCUCAGUCUUGCAAGGCACCAUAUGAUAUUGGAACUGAACAGUAGGGGAACCAAGAUGGUCAUUAAUUUUUUGCCUGAAGAUUCGUUCAUUUACGUAACUUGAGUCUUGGCUUGCAGCAAGUUCAUGAGGUACACAGAGAUGGAGCAUCCAUUUAAAUGUAUCUGUUUAAUAAAUUUGUAUAUAGCUUUUCAAGAAAGAAAACAUGUCCCUAGAGCAUUGUCAAGCCAAACAACAGAUGUAUAAUAAAAUACAAUUUAAGAGCAU